AUGCUGAAUGGGACAAGUUUGGGGCCCACUUCAGGGUGUUACACUGGCAAAGCCCAAGAACCUGCCUUUGAAAAUGGGAGCUACUACCACAAGAACGAUUUGAGCACUCACAAAGCCAUGGUUUUGGUAUGCUGCUCCAGCUCUGGAGGAUGGCUUGCUUAUGCUGUAUACUGUAAUUCUACAUUCAAGAUGUCAAUGGGACUUUCUGUGUUCAUUUCAACAGGAACAGGAUUAAGCAUAGGACUAUCAAUAUUUGAAUAUGCCAAUAUUUAUUCCCAGCAAAAUCCAUGACAAAUGCACAAUGACACAAGGAAGACAGAUCCAACUGGAAAGAAAAACUGUAUAAACAACCAUUGCUGGGCUUGCUGUACUGCAGAAAUGAGACCAAAUUUGAGUCCAAGCAUCUUACAAGAUCUCCUCCUAUCAUAACCAAUUUCUUCCAUCCCAUAUAUAGGAAAGACAUAAACCUCUUACCUCAACACCCAAUUCUUUGCAUAUAUUUGAGGACAGAGCAAUCUGGUAGUUGAAGCAAGUAUGGGAAAGAUUUAGUAGAGAAAACAACAAAAAAUUGUGACAAGAGAAGGUAACAGCCUCCACACACAGUUUUGUGUGACUCACAGUGCACAUUUCUGUGAGCUGCUAUGACCAACCAAGACAAGCUGCAUCCAGGAAACAGGCUUAUCACCAAGCCUCUCUACAAAAACAGAGCUCCCCUCAGCCCUUUGUUAGGGUUUUCAAAAGCUUCAAAGACUUCUUUACCAUGAAUCUGUGUGAAUCAGAAAGGGAGAAAAUGUCUAAGAGGCAUGGACAUUCAGUGGUCCUGCCUUGUCCCUCUCUCGCUCCACAUUCUUUUCAAGGGAAAGGUCAGGGAAUAUUUUACCUCUGACUUUCUCUCAGGUUCUUGACAAAGGUCAGUGAUAACUGUUGUUUUAAUGCACCACCAUAAUUAUAGCAUAUAAUGAUGCCAGCAUCAUUAAAAGUGGAAUGAUUGUUGUGAACAAAACCACUUAUAUUUGCAACAGUGUCUGCCCUGAGGAGACCUGUCUGCAUUACACGAAUGGUAAAAUUAUUCUGCUAUAGUGGUGACAGUUCCCCCCCCCCCCCCCCCCAUGGAUAAAUCUUGGUGAGUGACUGAUCCACAUAAACAAACAAGACUCUGAAUGACUUACAUGAAGACAGUUCUGUGAAACUGACUCAUCACAGCGCUUACACUUAAACAGAAUCAUGAAGAACUUGCAUUAUGACAAUUUUGUGAAGACAAAACCAAACUGAACAACUAACAGAUUCUGGUCCAGCAGGAGGAACACUGCUGUAGGACUCAGAAGACUGCAGGAUACACUUGGCACGGACCAUGCUUGACUACUGACUGUGCUUGACUGGUGACCAGUUAAGUUGCUUACCUUAUCUUGGCCUUAUUUCCUAACAUAUAAGAGGGAUAUUGAAACUUAUUUUAGUUAUAAAGUGGUCUCAGUUUCCUGGCUGAAAGUUUUCUUUAAAAGCUAGUCAUUCUUCUUUUUAAACCUAGGUGUUUAGAAAAUUCCAUAUCAGAACCAGAUCAAUUAGUCUAUUUUAUUUUGUCCUUACUCAAUAGUGGUCAAUGAUUGAUUCAUCAGGAACUAAAUAAUUUUAUAAUCCAUGUAAUUGCGUUAUAGAUAAAAAUAAUUCCGAAGCAAGAACUUUUCUUCCUGACUCAAGCUGAUGAUUGGUUUAUACUUAGAAGAUUAUGGACUGAUGGCUAUUAUAAUUUUAUUCUACCUACUGUAACUACAGAAGGUUUUUUUUUUUUUUUUUUUUUUUUUUUUUACAGUAUUCAUAUGUAUACAAUCCUCUUUUAGAAUCUUGCUAAGCUAGUUGCCUCAACAAUUCACUUUACAUUUGCUCUGGUUCUAAUAUAGGUGAGGAUUUGUAAUAUUCAGCACUCGUUCCAAAGCUCAUCUUCUUGGUACUUCAAAAUUCACAAAGAGCCUUGCCUCAAGGUUGUUAGUCAUGGCUUCUUGGAAAAUGUUGUGUGUAUACAUAAUAAAACGAGGACAUUAAACA
RNAcentral lists this long non-coding RNA (2040 nucleotides) under Anas platyrhynchos platyrhynchos (common mallard). RNAcentral's name for it is "lncRNA (ENSAPLG00000020293.1)". The record is from RNAcentral. Lineage: Eukaryota; Metazoa; Chordata; Aves; Anseriformes; Anatidae.